GACGAACGCUGGCGGCGUGCUUAACACAUGCAAGUCGAACGGAAAGGCCCUGCUUUUGUGGGGUGCUCGAGUGGCGAACGGGUGAGUAACACGUGAGUAACCUGCCCUUGACUUUGGGAUAACUUCAGGAAACUGGGGCUAAUACCGGAUAGGAGCUCCGGCUGCAUGGUGGGGGUUGGAAAGUUUCGGCGGUUGGGGAUGGACUCGCGGCUUAUCAGCUUGUUGGUGGGGUAGUGGCUUACCAAGGCUUUGACGGGUAGCCGGCCUGAGAGGGUGACCGGCCACCUUGGGACUGUGCUACGGCCCAGACUACGACGGGAGGCAGCAGUGGAGAAUAUUGCACAAGGAGAGGAAGCCUGAUGCAGCAACGCCGCGUGCGGGAUGAUGGCCUUCGGGUUGGAAACCGCUUCCGCCUGUAAAGAAGCGUGAGUGACGGUAAUGGGUAAAGAAGCACCGGCUAACUACGUG
This 468-nucleotide ribosomal RNA is filed under the name uncultured bacterium. RNAcentral's name for it is "partial 16S ribosomal RNA". It matches the Rfam family "Bacterial small subunit ribosomal RNA", at positions 28 to 507 of the family's 1533-position model. The record is from RNAcentral.